AUCCUGGCUCAGAGCGAACGCUGGCGGCAGGCUUAACACAUGCAAGUCGAGCGGGCGUAGCAAUACGUCAGCGGCAGACGGGUGAGUAACGCGUGGGAACGUACCUUUUGGUUCGGAACAACACAGGGAAACUUGUGCUAAUACCGGAUAAGCCCUUACGGGGAAAGAUUUAUCGCCGAAAGAUCGGCCCGCGUCUGAUUAGCUAGUUGGUAGGGUAACGGCCUACCAAGGCGACGAUCAGUAGCUGGUCUGAGAGGAUGAUCAGCCACAUUGGGACUGAGACACGGCCCAAACUCCUACGGGAGGCAGCAGUGGGGAAUAUUGGACAAUGGGGGCAACCCUGAUCCAGCCAUGCCGCGUGAGUGAUGAAGGCCCUAGGGUUGUAAAGCUCUUUUGUGCGGGAAGAUAAUGACGGUACCGCAAGAA
Molecule: ribosomal RNA, 426 nt
Filed under: Bradyrhizobium japonicum
Lineage: Bacteria; Pseudomonadati; Pseudomonadota; Alphaproteobacteria; Hyphomicrobiales; Nitrobacteraceae
Description: bacterial SSU rRNA
Rfam family: Bacterial small subunit ribosomal RNA
Source: RNAcentral